CUCUGGUAUUGAUUGGUGCUUGCAUCAUGAUUUACAUUUGAGUGAGUGGCGAACUGGUGAGUAACACGUGGGAAACCUGCCCAGAAGCGGGGGAUAACACCUGGAAACAGAUGCUAAUACCGCAUAACAACUUGGACCGCAUGGUCCGAGUUUGAAAGAUGGCUUCGGCUAUCACUUUUGGAUGGUCCCGCGGCGUAUUAGCUAGAUGGUGGGGUAACGGCUCACCAUGGCAAUGAUACGUAGCCGACCUGAGAGGGUAAUCGGCCACAUUGGGACUGAGACACGGCCCAAACUCCUACGGGAGGCAGCAGUAGGGAAUCUUCCACAAUGGACGAAAGUCUGAUGGAGCAACGCCGCGUGAGUGAAGAAGGGUUUCGGCUCGUAAAACUCUGUUGUUAAAGAAGAACAUAUCUGAGAGUAACUGUUCAGGUAUUGACGGUAUUUAACCAGAAAGCCACGGCUAACUACGUGCCAGCAGCCGCGGUAAUACGUAGGUGGCAAGCGUUGUCCGGAUUUAUUGGGCGUAAAGCGAGCGCAGGCGGUUUUUUAAGUCUGAUGUGAAAGCCUUCGGCUCAACCGAAGAAGUGCAUCGGAAACUGGGAAACUUGAGUGCAGAAGAGGACAGUGGAACUCCAUGUGUAGCGGUGAAAUGCGUAGAUAUAUGGAAGAACACCAGUGGCGAAGGCGGCUGUCUGGUCUGUAACUGACGCUGAGGCUCGAAAGUAUGGGUAGCAAACAGGAUUAGAUACCCUGGUAGUCCAUACCGUAAACGAUGAAUGCUAAGUGUUGGAGGGUUUCCGCCCUUCAGUGCUGCAGCUAACGCAUUAAGCAUUCCGCCUGGGGAGUACGGCCGCAAGGCUGAAACUCAAAGGAAUUGACGGGGGCCCGCACAAGCGGUGGAGCAUGUGGUUUAAUUCGAAGCUACGCGAAGAACCUUACCAGGUCUUGACAUACUAUGCAAAUCUAAGAGAUUAGACGUUCCCUUCGGGGACAUGGAUACAGGUGGUGCAUGGUUGUCGUCAGCUCGUGUCGUGAGAUGUUGGGUUAAGUCCCGCAACGAGCGCAACCCUUAUUAUCAGUUGCCAGCAUUAAGUUGGGCACUCUGGUGAGACUGCCGGUGACAAACCGGAGGAAGGUGGGGAUGACGUCAAAUCAUCAUGCCCCUUAUGACCUGGGCUACACACGUGCUACAAUGGAUGGUACAACGAGUUGCGAACUCGCGAGAGUAAGCUAAUCUCUUAAAGCCAUUCUCAGUUCGGAUUGUAGGCUGCAACUCGCCUACAUGAAGUCGGAAUCGCUAGUAAUCGCGGAUCAGCAUGCCGCGGUGAAUACGUUCCCGGGCCUUGUACACACCGCCCGUCACACCAUGAGAGUUUGUAACACCCAAAGUCGGUGGGGUAACCUUUUAGGAACCAGCCGCCUAAGGUGGGACAGAUGA
RNAcentral lists this ribosomal RNA (1438 nucleotides) under Lactiplantibacillus plantarum. Its description in RNAcentral is "bacterial SSU rRNA". It matches the Rfam family "Bacterial small subunit ribosomal RNA". Lineage: Bacteria; Bacillati; Bacillota; Bacilli; Lactobacillales; Lactobacillaceae. The record is from RNAcentral.